GUCUAAGGUCAGAACAAAAACUCAAUGAAAAUGAGGACUGUCAAUCAUCUGACUGGUUUUUGUGGAACAAUAUUGAAAAAAGUAGUGGAGAAUUUUGGACGAUGGAGUUUUGAAAAUUAUGAGCUUGGACAGGAAAAAA
Caenorhabditis elegans is the source of this 139-nucleotide non-coding RNA. NCBI's taxonomy places the organism in Eukaryota, Metazoa, Nematoda, Chromadorea, Rhabditida, Rhabditidae. The record is from Ensembl.